AAAGCUCAGUCGGUUAGAGCUUGGUGCUGAUAACACCAAGGUCACGGGUUCGAUCCCCGUU
Non-coding RNA from Apaloderma vittatum (bar-tailed trogon), 61 nucleotides. The record is from Rfam. Lineage: Eukaryota; Metazoa; Chordata; Aves; Trogoniformes; Trogonidae.